This 403-nucleotide ribosomal RNA is filed under the name Fusobacteriota bacterium. Its description in RNAcentral is "Fusobacteria bacterium partial 16S ribosomal RNA". It matches the Rfam family "Bacterial small subunit ribosomal RNA", at positions 355 to 776 of the family's 1533-position model. The record is from RNAcentral. Lineage: Bacteria; Fusobacteriati; Fusobacteriota.
UGGGGAAUAUUGCACAAUGGAGGGAACUCUGAUGCAGCGACGCCGCGUGAACGAAGAAGGCUUUCGAGUCGUAAAGUUCUUUUAUAUGGGAAGAUAAUGACGGUACCAUAAGAAAAAGCCCCGGCUAACUACGUGCCAGCAGCCGCGGUAAUACGUAGGGGGCUAGCGUUGUCCGGAAUCACUGGGGGUAAAGGGUUCGCAGGCGGAAAUGCAAGUCAGGUGUAAAAGGCAGUAGCUUAACUACUGUAAGCAUUUGAAACUGCAUAGCUUGAGAAGAGUAGAGGUAAGUGGAAUUUUUGGUGUAGCGGUGAAAUGCGUAGAUAUUAAAAAGAAUACCGGUGGCGAAGGCGACUUACUGGGCUCAUACUGACGCUGAGGAACGAAAGCGUGGGUAGCAAACAGG